CUAACCAUGGAGAAUGAGAAGAGACUCUUCAAUCUGUUGCAUGUUACGACUUCUAAUUUUCUUAAUUUGGCGAAAGGCCCUGUUGUAAGUCGGCCAUAACAAAUCUUCUCUAGGCUCACCAAAUUAUUCAAAGACAAAGACUCCAGGAUGGGAAAGACAUUUAAACUAGGGACCUGCACCGUUGAGUUAAUAAUAUAUUGAAUGUCAUCACUAUUUUCGAUGUCAAGAUGCUUUAAUCGCUGAAACCCUUCCCGAUCCAUGUCAUACAAAAUGCUCUU
Molecule: unclassified non-coding RNA, 278 nt
Filed under: Hevea brasiliensis (rubber tree)
Lineage: Eukaryota; Viridiplantae; Streptophyta; Magnoliopsida; Malpighiales; Euphorbiaceae
Source: RNAcentral